AAACAUUAAAUAAGAGAUUAAAACUUGAACAUUCCAACAAUUUCAUAAAAAGAAUCUACCAAAACUCAAUACGUAAAAUCCCAAAACCUUGUGAGAUAUAAGUCACAAGCUCUAAAUACAGUACCGAAUAAUCAUAUACAUCACACCCUAUCAAAAUGUAAAGAAAUAAGAAAAGAACGGGAUAUAAGGGGACUCCGAGGCCUGCGGAUGCGGGCAGGUGUACCUUGAAGUCUCCAAAGCAGCAACACAUCGCACUAAUAUCGAGGAUGAUAGGAUGCACCUGGAUCUAUACAAAAACAUGUGCAGAAGCGUAGUAUGAGUACAUCACAAUGGUACCCAGUAAGUGCCAAGCCUAACCUCAGUAGAGUAGUGACGAGGUCAGGUCAUGGCCCUAUAGAAGUAAUAGGAAAAACAAGGCAGAAGAUAUAAUGAUGUAAUGAAAUGAAAGAGGAGUGUAACAAUAGAAAUUCACAGAAGAUAACAACACGGAAUCAAAGAAGACAAUUACAACACGUAAGGAAGCACAAAUCUUACAAGUUAAAUAGCAACAAUAACAACAACAACAAAAAUAAUGCAGCAAACAGAGGAAAAUAACAAGCGCACUCCCGAGGUACCGCCUCGUAGUCCCAAAAGUAAAUAUCUCACAACGACACGGUUGUGCCACAAUAACAAUCCGUACGGCAGAAACCUCGUGCCGUAAUAACAAUCCGCAUGGCAGAAACUUCGUGCCACAAUAACAAUCCACACAACAGAAACCUCGUGCCAUAAUAACAAUCCACACGACAAAAAGCUCUUGCCACAAUAACAAUCCGCACGACAGAAACCUCGUGCCAUAACCAAUAGUCAUCUCAACAAUAAUCACGAAAACCAACACAUAACAAUUGAAACAAUGAUGAUACAAGCAAAGAAUCCUACAGUUAAAGAAUGAAUACGGAAUCAAGGAAACAGGUAAUUCAGCUACGUAUGUUGUACAAAUUGCAAAUAAGAGAUAAGACACGUAGACAUAUGAAAUUAGGCUAAACAUGAUGACUACACAUGUUAGAGUAACUCAAUUAAGGAAAUAAAAGGAAACUACUUAGCAAAAAUUGGAUUUUUAACAUUUAGUCCGAGUACGCACUCGUGACCUUGCGUACACGGCCUUCAAGUAAUGCAAUUUAUCAUAACAGUAUCAAAUCCUAAGGGAAAUUCCCCCCCGCCCCUACACACACACAAGGUUAGACAAGUCACUUAACUCAAUCUCGCUCAAUCAAUGAAUAAGAAGGCCUUUUCCUCGAUUUUUCAAUUCUGAUUGGCUCGAAUCUAGCCAAAACAAUUCCAUACUAUAAAUAUAACUAUAGAAAACUAAUCUAAAUAAUGAAAUUAUAACUUUAGCAAAGAAUUGAAAAAUCGCUCCAAAAAGUCGACUUGGGUCCACAUCUCGGAACCCAACCAAAAUUAUAAAUUCCGAACAUCCAUUCGAUAUCGAGUCCAACCAUACAAGAAUUAUCCAAAUCUGACCUCAUUUGGCCUUUCAAAACCCAAGAAUUUGAUCUGAGAACUUUACACCUUUUCCCCUAAAGUUUUCAACCCAAAACCUUAAUUAAAUGAAGAAAUCGAAGAUAGAUUAGUGGGAAUUAAUCAAAAAUAAGUCAAGAAUCCUUACCCAAGUGUUUCCUUUGAAAAUCCCUCAAAACCUCGCCUCAAUCCGAGCUUUCAAAACCCAAAAGUGAAAAUGAAACCAAACCAUCGACUUUCCCUAUUUCUUCCCAGUCAAACCGCAUCUGCGGCUCAAGAAUCGCUUCUGCGAUGCUGCACCUGCAGAAAAACCAUCGCAGGUGCGGAAAACACUUAAGUCGAGGGCUUUCGCUUCUGCAGAUAAGGGCCCGCAUAUGCGAUACUGCUUCUGCGGGAAUGGGAUCGCACCUGCGACCACUAGCACUUCUGCACCCCGCCAUCGCAGAAGCGAAGACAAUUCCGCAGAAUAUUUCCCGCUUCUGUGACCAUUGUUGGGCAUGACCAAACUCGCUUUUGCGACCAAGAUCUUGCCGCCCGCACAUGCGGCCAAUCCUCCGCAGGUGCAAAAACACCAGCAUAACCCAGCUUCAGCAGAUUUCACAAUUCUCAAUUUAUUCCAGUUUCAAUACGAAUCACACUCGGGGCCCCUGGGACCUCGUCUGAAUAUACCAACAAGUCUUAAAAUAUCAUACGAACUUAGUCGAGCCUUCAAAUCAUAUCAAACAACGCUAAAAAUAUGAACUGCACAUCGAUUCGAGCCUAAUGAACUUUCUAACUUCUGUAUUCGACGCCGAAACCUAUCAAAUCAAGUCCGAUUUACCUCAAAUUUUUCAUACAAAUCAUAAUUGACAUUAUGGACCUGUUCCAACUUCCGGAAUCAGAAUCUGACCUCUAUAUCAAAAAGUCCACUCCCGGUCAAAUUUUCCAAAAAAUCAUCCAACCUUCCAACUUUCGCCAAUUAACGCCGAAAUGACCUACGGAGCUCUAAAUAGACAUCCGGACAUGCUCCUAAUACCAAAAUUAACCUACGGAGCUAAUGAGACCGUCAAAACUCCAUUCUGAAGUCGUCUUUACUCAAAUCAAACUACGAUCGACUCUUAUGACUUAAACUUCCAAUUUAGGGAUUGUGUGUCCCAUUUCUUUCCGAAAUAAAAAACCAAACCUCCCGGCAAGUUACGUAACCAUAAUAUAACAUAGAGAAGGUAAUAAUUAGGGGGUCGGGGCUAAUACACUCAAAACGACCGGCUGAGUUGUUACACCAAUCUUUUACCAGUUCAUUCACAAACUAAAAAUCUUGGUCAAAUAAUAUCUCUUACUUUCACCGGGAGUAUAUCAAUAAUAUGAUGAUGAUUUAUUGGAACACAACAUGACAUAGGUUUCUUUUGGAGCAUCUCUUGAUGGAAAACGUAAUUAGAGCAGAGGUGAAGAGUAGUCACCUUUCAAUAACUUACAUUGUUCAUCAAUAGAUCUAUAGUGCCCCAUGUAUUAAUCAGUUGAAAAAAUUUAUGAAAACUAAUUACAUCAUAGAUUCUUUUAACAAUAAGAAACAUCUAACAGAAAUUCUCGCAGUUUUAAUUAUUGCAUUAUCAUUUGCUUCUUUAGAAACAUCUCACCCAAAAUUAAGAAUGUGGUGACCAAUCUGUUGAAAAUAUUAUGAUUAACAAUCAUAUAUUUCUCCAUUAAGGCACUAAGAGAUAUUCUAAAAGCAUCAAUAUUUUCGAUGCCAUGAAACAUACAAAUACUUAAACCUAAAAUACAAUAAUUGGAAAAGAUACUUAUUUCCUAACCAUAUCAAUAAACUUCCCAUAAGAUUCAUUUGACUAAGCAUAUGAGGAGCCUUUAAAGCUAGAACACUCACCCAUAAGGGAAAACAACAAUUCAAGUCAAAAACCUAAAAGGAUAAUCACUAAUCUCGAGGAAAAAAAAUGAAGGGUAGAAGCUGACGCUGAGCAACAAUCAAGUAGGCAAAAUAGGGAUUGUGAAAAUAUGAUAUGAACAUGAGUUAUCAGCAAGAAAAUACCAACUUAACUUUAAAACCAAACUCAUAUUUGAACUUGAAAGGAACAUUUAAACAGUAACAAACAAAACUUUCUUUCUUGGAAUGAUAAAAAGAUUAAGGUUACUUUUCACUUUCUUUCAGUUUAAAUGAAAAAAUUAUUGCUUUCGUUGUAGUUUCAGUUGCAGCAUAUUAUGAUGAUAUCAAAAGAUUUAAAGUAAGAAGUUGGUUAGAAAAAUUUACCUUUUGAUUGAAAUGCUACUGAAUAAUACAAAUACACAAUAACUAUGAUGAAUCGCAAUAACUGAAAUAGAGGAGAAAGAUGAAAAAUUAGAACAGCCUAAAAGUUAGAAGCAGUCAUGCAUGUGAUGAUUAAACAACAACCAGUUUGAUCAUAUUGUCUCUACCAAUUAGGGAAAGAUAAGGCGCCUCGUAAAUAAUUUAAUAAAUAAAAACUUAAAUUAAGACUUGUCCAAUUUCGCGUAUACAUCAGCCACGAAAUUGCAAAAUCAAGAAAAUAAAAAAAAAUCAAAACUCAGCACGCUUCGAGUUUAAAAAUGCAUUUUUAUCGCUCGAUUUAAAACAUACUCCUCUGCACAAGGUGAUUGAUCUGUUAGGUCUGUUCCGAAAAUCAGAGAACAAUUUAAUUAGAAGCCUUACUCCUACGAUUUAUAACGGAAAGAACGUAGAAAUUAAGCUUCAACUAUUAAAACCUCAAAUUGGCAAAUACUAUCCAAACUGAUCCCAAUUUAGUACCAUAGGCCAAAAUUGCAAAACCCCAAUUGAUUAAGACUAUAGUUACAGGUAAAAAAUGAACCAACAAAAGUGACGAAGCAGAGGAUAAAAGAAAAGAAGACGAGCAGAAAUUCAAACUUUAUUAAGCAUUGUAACACUAUACCCAAAUUUUCUUCGUUUUAAUUAGGAUUAAUACCCAUAUCAGUAUCAUCAGCUGACUGAGAUCAAGAAUCCAUUGAUCUCCAAAAAACAAAUGCAUGUGGGUUGGAACUAAUUGAAAAAGCAAAAAAAUGAGAAAUAAAUAUAAAACAACCAAAUUGAAGUUGAAAAGGAAGAGAUUGUUCCUAUGUCCUUCCUAUAUCAGAUGCAUAGCAAAAAACAUGGGUAAAAUUGAUUAAAAAAUACCUACAGGUAGAAGCAAUGUGAGGAAGACGAAGAGAUAUCUUAGAAGCCGUCUAAAAUUUGAAAGUUUAUUAUACAAAGAAAUGAGAGGAAAACCUAAUGAUGUUGUCUCGGGAAAGCAAACCUGGAGUCAUUUAAGAUCUACGUAUCUGAUUUAAUUGCAAGAACAAAUGUGAAAUGGCCUAAAUCCCCUUGAGCUUUAUCAAAAAGACAAUAAGCACACAGGUCGAAACAGCAGCCCUCUUGGGCGGCCGAGAGUGUAAUGUAAAAAGGACCAAGGAGAAUCCUAUCCUAAAGGAGAAGGAGGAGAAGAAGAGAACUAACUUAAUUAGAAGCCUUACUCCUUCGAUUCAUAAUGGAAAGAACAUAGAAACUAAGCUUCACUAUCAAAAUCUCAAAUUGGCAAAUACUAUCCAAACUGAUCCCAAUUUAAUACCAUAGGCCAAAAUUGUAAAACCCCAAUUGAUUAAGACUAUAGUUACAUGUAAAAAAAAUGAACCAACAAAAGUGACGAAGCAGAGGAUAAAAGAAAAGAAGACGAUGAACAAAAAUUCUAAACUUUAUUAAGCGUUGUAACACUAUACCCAAAUGUUUUUCAUUUUAAUUAGGCUUAAUACUCAUAUCAGUAUCAUCAGCGAACUGAGAUCAAGAAGCCAUUAAUCUCGAAAAAAUAAAUGUGUGUGGGUUGGAACUAAUUGAAAGAGAAAAAAAAAAAGAAGAAAUAUAUAUAAAACAACCAAAUUGAUGUUGAAGAGAAAGAGGUUGUUCCUAUAUCAUAUGCAUAACAAAAAACAUGGGUGAAAUUGAUUAAAAAAUACCUGCAUGUAGAAGAAAUGUGAGGAAGACGAAGAGAUAUCUUAGAAGCCGUCUAAAAUUUGAAAGUUUAUAAUACAAAGAAAUGAGAGGAAAACCUAAUGAUGUUGUCUC
RNAcentral lists this long non-coding RNA (5554 nucleotides) under Nicotiana tabacum (common tobacco). RNAcentral describes it as "long non-coding RNA (NTAB_LNC001529)". The record is from RNAcentral. Lineage: Eukaryota; Viridiplantae; Streptophyta; Magnoliopsida; Solanales; Solanaceae.